Molecule: ribosomal RNA, 305 nt
Filed under: uncultured bacterium
Lineage: Bacteria
Description: bacterial SSU rRNA
Rfam family: Bacterial small subunit ribosomal RNA
Source: RNAcentral
UUUACCUACGGGGCGCAGCAGUGGGGAAUAUUGGGCAAUGGGCGCAAGCCUGACCCAGCAACGCCGCGUGAAGGUAGAAGGCUUUCGGGUUGUAAACUUCUUUUCUCAGGGACGAAGAAAGUGACGGUACCUGAGGAAUAAGCCACGGCCAACUACGUGCCAGCGGCCGCGGUAAUACGUAGGUGGCAAGCGUUGUCCGGAUUUACUGGGUGUAAAGGGCGUGUAGCCGGGUUGACAAGUCAGAUGUGAAAUCCUGCGGCUUAACCGCAGACCUGCAUUUGAAACUGUUGAUCUUGAGUACUGGG